This 75-nucleotide transfer RNA is filed under the name Candidatus Peregrinibacteria bacterium CG_4_10_14_0_2_um_filter_41_8. RNAcentral's name for it is "tRNA-Asn". It matches the Rfam family "tRNA". Rfam says of the family: Transfer RNA (tRNA) molecules are approximately 80 nucleotides in length. Their secondary structure includes four short double-helical elements and three loops (D, anti-codon, and T loops). Further hydrogen bonds mediate the characteristic L-shaped molecular structure. tRNAs have two regions of fundamental functional importance: the anti-codon, which is responsible for specific mRNA codon recognition, and the 3' end, to which the tRNAs corresponding amino acid is attached (by aminoacyl-tRNA synthetases). tRNAs cope with the degeneracy of the genetic code in two manners: having more than one tRNA (with a specific anti-codon) for a particular amino acid; and 'wobble' base-pairing, i.e. permitting non-standard base-pairing at the 3rd anti-codon position. Lineage: Bacteria; Candidatus Peregrinibacteriota. The record is from RNAcentral. RNAcentral also lists the same sequence under 2 other names.
UCCUCGAUAGCUCAGUGGUAGAGCAACCGGCUGUUAACCGGUAGGUCGUUGGUUCGAAUCCAACUCGAGGAGCCA